This 189-nucleotide ribosomal RNA is filed under the name uncultured Veillonellaceae bacterium. Its description in RNAcentral is "partial 16S ribosomal RNA". It matches the Rfam family "Bacterial small subunit ribosomal RNA", at positions 162 to 334 of the family's 1533-position model. Lineage: Bacteria; Bacillati; Bacillota; Negativicutes; Veillonellales; Veillonellaceae. The record is from RNAcentral.
GCUAAUACCGCGUACGAUUCAUGAACGGCAUCGUUUAUGAAUGAAAGGUGGCCUCUAUGUAUAAGCUAUCGCUGAAGGAGGGGAUUGCGUCUGAUUAGCUAGUUGGAGGGGUAACGGGCCCACCAAGGCAAUGAUCAGUAGCCGGUCUGAGAGGAUGAACGGCCACACUGGAACUGAGACACGGUCCAG